This 205-nucleotide ribosomal RNA is filed under the name uncultured bacterium. RNAcentral's name for it is "partial 16S ribosomal RNA". It matches the Rfam family "Bacterial small subunit ribosomal RNA", at positions 568 to 773 of the family's 1533-position model. The record is from RNAcentral.
CAUGUAGGUGGGCUUUUAAGUCCGAUGUGAAAAUGCGGGGCUCAACCCCGUAUGGCAUUGGAUACUGGAAGUCUUGAGUGCAGGAGAGGAAAGGGGAAUUCCCAGUGUAGCGGUGAAAUGCGUAGAUAUUGGGAGGAACACCAGUGGCGAAGGCGCCUUUCUGGACUGUGUCUGACACUGAGAUGCGAAAGCUAGGGUAGCAAAC